This 470-nucleotide ribosomal RNA is filed under the name uncultured bacterium. RNAcentral's name for it is "bacterial SSU rRNA". It matches the Rfam family "Bacterial small subunit ribosomal RNA", at positions 329 to 793 of the family's 1533-position model. The record is from RNAcentral.
GCAGAGCAUCCCACGGGAGCAGCAGUGGGGAAUAUUGCACAAUGGGCGCAAGCCUGAUGCAGCCAUGCCGCGUGUAUGAAGAAGGCCUUCGGGUUGUAAAGUACUUUCAGCAGUGAGGAAGGUGGAUAUGUUAAUAGCAUAUUCAUUUGACGUUAGCUGCAGAAGAAGCACCGGCUAACUCCGUGCCAGCAGCCGCGGUAAUACGGAGGGUGCGAGCGUUAAUCGGAAUUACUGGGCGUAAAGCGCAUGCAGGUGGUUUGUUAAGUCAGAUGUGAAAGCCCGGGGCUCAACCUCGGAAUUGCAUUUGAAACUGGCAAACUAGAGUACUGUAGAGGGGGUAGAAUUUCAGGUGUAGCGGUGAAAUGCGUAGAGAUCUGAAGGAAUACCGGUGGCGAAGGCGGCCCCCUGGACAGAUACUGACACUCAGAUGCGAAAGCGUGGGGAGCAAACAGGAUUAUAUACCCUGGUAG